AGUGAACGCUGGCGGUAGGCCUAACACAUGCAAGUCGAACGGCAACACAGGAGAGCUUGCUCUCUGGGUGGCGAGUGGCGGACGGGUGAGGAAUACAUCGGAAUCUACUCUGUCGUGGGGGAUAACGUAGGGAAACUUACGCUAAUACCGCAUACGACCUCCGGGUGAAAGCAGGGGACCUUCGGGCCUUGCGCGAUUGAGUGAGCCGAUGUCGGAUUAGCUAGUUGGCGGGGUAAAGGCCCACCAAGGCGACGAUCCGUAGCUGGUCUGAGAGGAUGAUCAGCCACACUGGAACUGAGACACGGUCCAGACUCCUACGGGAGGCAGCAGUGGGGAAUAUUGGACAAUGGGCGCAAGCCUGAUCCAGCCAUACCGCGUGGGUGAAGAAGGCCUUCGGGUUGUAAAGCCCUUUUGUUGGGAAAGAAAUCCAGCUGGCUAAUACCCGGUUGGGAUGACGGUACCCAAAGAAUAAGCACCGGCUAACUUCGUGCCAGCCGCCGCCGUAA
Molecule: ribosomal RNA, 506 nt
Filed under: uncultured bacterium
Lineage: Bacteria
Description: partial 16S ribosomal RNA
Rfam family: Bacterial small subunit ribosomal RNA
Source: RNAcentral